GACGAACGCUGGCGGCGUGCUUAACACAUGCAAGUCGAACGGAAAGGCCCUGCAUUUGUGGGGUGCUCGAGUGGCGAAAGGGUGAGUAACACGUGAGUAACCUGCCCUUGACUUUGGGAUAACUUCAGGAAACUGGGGCUAAUACCGGAUAGGAGCUCCUGCUGCAUGGUGGGGGUUGGAAAGUUUCGGCGGUUGGGGAGGGACUCGCGGCUUAUCAGCUUGUUGGUGGGGUAGUGGCUUACCAAGGCUUUGACGGGUAGCCGGCCUGGGAGGGUGACCGGCCACAUUGGGACUGAGAUACGGCCCAGACUCCUACGGGAGGCAGCAGUGGGGAAUAUUGCACAAUGGGCGGAAGCCUGAUGCAGCAACGCCGCGUGCGGGAUGACGGCCUUCGGGUUGUAAACCGCUUUCGCCUGUGACGAAGCGUGAGUGACGGUAAUGGGUAAAGAAGCACCGGCUAACUACGUG
RNAcentral lists this ribosomal RNA (468 nucleotides) under uncultured bacterium. RNAcentral's name for it is "partial 16S ribosomal RNA". It matches the Rfam family "Bacterial small subunit ribosomal RNA", at positions 28 to 507 of the family's 1533-position model. The record is from RNAcentral.